AGCAAGUGGCUGUGGUCCCCUUCCACGGUGUGGGGGCUUUGUUCUUUCCCUCUUUGCAAUAAAUCUUGCUGCUGCUCACUCUUUGGGUCCACACUGUCUUUAUGAGCUGUAACAUUCACCGCGAAGGUUUGCAGCUUCACUCCUUAAGCCAGUGAAACCACUAACCCACCAAGAAGAAUGAACAAACAACUCCAGACGCGCGGCCUUAAGAGCUGUAACACUCACCGCGAAGGUCCGCAGCGUCUCUCCUGAGCUAGUGUGACCACGAACCAACCAGAAGGAACAAACUCCGAACACGCCGCCUUUAAGAACUGUAAUACUCACCGCGACGGCUUUUAAGAACUGUAACACUCACCGCGACGGUCGGCGGCUUCAUUCUUGAAGUCAGUCAGACCAAGAACCUACCAAUUCCGGACGCACUACCCGGGGGACAUGAUAAAUCUGGGAAGGGCACCUCAGGUUUUAUCUUCAUCAGCCUGGUCAAAGCUGGAUUUCCAUCACACAUGUGCUCACUCCACGGAACGUGCAAAAGGUCAAGACAUACAAACUCAGAGUUUUUAAAAUCAAGAAUUGAAAGU
RNAcentral lists this long non-coding RNA (578 nucleotides) under Homo sapiens (human). Its description in RNAcentral is "non-protein coding lnc-SPX-1:1". The record is from RNAcentral. Lineage: Eukaryota; Metazoa; Chordata; Mammalia; Primates; Hominidae.